This 958-nucleotide ribosomal RNA is filed under the name Xestospongia deweerdtae. Its description in RNAcentral is "eukaryotic LSU rRNA". It matches the Rfam family "Eukaryotic large subunit ribosomal RNA", at positions 76 to 782 of the family's 3401-position model. The record is from RNAcentral. Lineage: Eukaryota; Metazoa; Porifera; Demospongiae; Haplosclerida; Petrosiidae.
UCCCUCAGUAACGGCGAGCGAAGUGGGAAGGUGCCCAGGUCUGGAAUCUCCGGUCGGGUUAAGGACGGCCGGCGAAUUGUGGUCUGGAGAGACGGACUGUCCCCUUCCACCGCUCCGGACGGGCCCGAAGUCGACUUGGAACGGCGUGCCGGAGAGGGUGAGAGCCCCGUAGGGCUGGGAAACCGAGAGCGGGGGGACGAGGGUCCGUACUCGUCGAGUCGGGUUGUUUGGGAGUGCAGCCCAAAGCGGGUGGUAGACUCCAUCCAAGGCUGAAUACGGGCGCGAGACCGAUAGCGAACAAGUACCGUGAGGGAAAGGUGAAAAGCACUUUGAAGAGAGAGUCCAAGAGACCGUGAAACCGUUGGGAGGGAAGCCCAGGGCGUCGAGGCGGUAUCGGCUCCGAGUCGGGUUCAGUCGGCUAUUCCGKUAGGAUGGUCGGUGCAGUUCCGGCGGGAGUGCGACCGUCAGCAGGGUCCGAGGGCGAGGUGUAGCGCUCGUCGGGGCAGGUGGCUAGUUCGUGUCUCUCCGGAGCGCGGACAGCACUUAGAGUCCGUCGAUGCUGGUGCCUUGCGAACGGAUCGGUAGCGUGGAGCGUCAAGUCGCUCAAGAUGGUGUAGGCGCAGUUCUCGCUCAGGCGAGGAUCGGGUUCCGUCCGCGCCGUGGCCGGAUUCGCCGGAAGUUGGGUCGAGUUGUCGCUCCGGCGCACUCUCGACGGCUCCGGGGUCGAUCGGUGGCGGUCGGGCGAGAGCCAGGUGCUGCGCGUCGUCUGUUGGCGUGGAGUCGUCGCCCUGUGCCCCGUCUUGAAACACGGACCAAGGAGUGCAAGAGGCUCGCGAGUCGGAGGGAGCGGUGACCUGUCGCCGUGACGGGAUUCCCUUCGAGGCGAAGCGAGAGCAAAGUUGGGUGCGAGAGCCUGGCCGAGGGGCGAGGUGCAUCGCGGGCCGAGUCGAGGUCACGC